This 79-nucleotide ribosomal RNA is filed under the name Klebsiella pneumoniae subsp. pneumoniae. RNAcentral describes it as "partial 16S ribosomal RNA". It matches the Rfam family "Bacterial small subunit ribosomal RNA", at positions 1 to 79 of the family's 1533-position model. The record is from RNAcentral. Lineage: Bacteria; Pseudomonadati; Pseudomonadota; Gammaproteobacteria; Enterobacterales; Enterobacteriaceae.
AAAUUGAAGAGUUUGAUCAUGGCUCAGGUUGAACGCUGGCGGCAGGCCUAACACAUGCAAGUCGAGCGGUAGCACAGAG